Molecule: ribosomal RNA, 496 nt
Filed under: uncultured bacterium
Lineage: Bacteria
Description: partial 16S ribosomal RNA
Rfam family: Bacterial small subunit ribosomal RNA
Source: RNAcentral
AUGAACGCUGGCGGCGUGCCUCAUACAUGCAAGUCGAGCGAACAGACGAGGAGCUUGCUCCUCUGACGUUAGCGGCGGACGGGUGAGUAACACGUGGAUAACCUACCUAUAAGACUGGGAUAACUUCGGGAAACCGGAGCUAAUACCGGAUAAUAUAUUGAACCGCAUGGUUCAAUAGUGAAAGACGGUUUUGCUGUCACUUAUAGAUGGAUCCGCGCCGCAUUAGCUAGUUGGUAAGGUAAUGGCUUACCAAGGCAACGAUGCGUAGCCGACCUGAGAGGGUGAUCGGCCACACUGGAACUGAGACACGGUCCAGACUCCUACGGGAGGCAGCAGUAGGGAAUCUUCCGCAAUGGGCGAAAGCUUGACGGAGCAACGCCGCGUGAGUGAUGAAGGUCUUCGGAUCGUAAAACUCUGCUAUUAGGGAAGAACAAAUGUGUAAGUAACUAUGCACGUCUUGACGGUACCUAAUCAGAAAGCCACGGCUAACUACGUG